This 116-nucleotide unclassified non-coding RNA is filed under the name Chryseobacterium gambrini. Its description in RNAcentral is "Flavo-1 RNA". Lineage: Bacteria; Pseudomonadati; Bacteroidota; Flavobacteriia; Flavobacteriales; Weeksellaceae. The record is from RNAcentral.
GUUUAGCCAUGAUCGCAGCAUUUGUCUGAGCUCAUUUUGUUUGAUUUUGGUUUCGGCGGCUUUGCCGCCGAAACCAAAAUCAAACAAAAUAGCGAGUGCGGAGAGCAGGAAACAGC